UAAAUGUAAAACGGUCAAUAACUUUAUGUACAAUGUGGCUACCGUAGCCAUUUCAGGUUUGUACAUGUGCAAUUCAGGCCUCUACCAUCUCCAAAAGGAAAGGAGCAAUGUGAUAGCCUUUACGGCAAUUACUUCUGUAGCCCUGGGCUUUGCCCUUUAAGACUGGGCUUUAUCCAAUAAAUAUCUUCCUUUUUAGAAAAAGAAAUGGAGAAAUAUAGUUUGUUAGUAACAUACUUACACGUGUGAAUUUAUAUAUACAGCCUACCUUGCUUGCAGUCCAAAACAACCUCCUACUGGUCAGAUGAACGUCACUCACCUUUUAUUUGAUGUUGACUGGUUGUGGGGUGGGACAUGCGGAGAAGUAUGGGAUGCUGCUAGAGAGAAUACGGGGAGAGACGAGAGGAGAGGAGAGUGAGUGCCGGAUUGAGCGCUGCAUGACGAGAGCCAGAUGCAGCUUGGAAGAUAAAAGCCGUAUCAGAUUAUGUAUUAGGUGAAAAGACGGUAAUUGAAAAGCUUACACACUGCAUGCAAGUAGUUAAUGCACCAAAGUGUGAAUUUGUGUCUGUGAAUUACACUUUUGUAUCUGUUAGCUUUGUAAAGUUGGUAUGAGCUCAGCGGCUAAUGCUAGGUCAGCUACUGAAGUCUAGAAUUACACCCAUGUUGUUUGGGCUAGUUAGCUAAGCUAGUUCAGUACAGUCUCUGGGUACUACACGUGAAAACUGCAGACCCAGAUAGCACUCUGGGUGACUGGAAAAGCCUGUGAGUUCCUCUGGCAGCGCAGGACCCAAGAAUUCAUCCCAGAUAGCCAGGGCCGGCCCGUGGCAUAAACAGUCUAUGCUGUUGUUUAGGGCCACAACCGCUGGGGGGGGGGGGGGGGGCACACGACCACGAGGGGGGCCACAUGAUCCAAUGUUUAUAUAAGGUAAAUAACGUUAUUUUUGUAAUAACGUUAUUCAUCCCCUAUCGCGGAACUCACGGUAUUAAUUUUAAAUGGAACAGCAACAGAGCAUUUCAUAACAAUGUAAUGUAAGAAGGAUUUUACAGGGAAAUGCCCCCCCCCCCCCGACAGAAUCCAACAGACACCCCCCCUCCCCCUUAGAUUUUCUUAGGGCCACCAAAAUGACCGGAAAAGCCCGCAAGUUCCUCUGGCAGCUUUGGAGAAAUACCCUUUUUCCUGAGAACAUUCAUCUACCCACCUGUGUCACUCUACCACCAUCAGCAUCAUCUCAUAUCCACAGAUUACCUACGGUAGGGACUGUGAGUACCAUAUUUGUUUCUUGCUCUGUCGGAGUUAAGGGGCUAUUGAUAUUUAGUCACAACGUACCCAAGCAACGAUUAGGCCUGCAAUGGGUGUUUAUUUUAUUUUGUUUAAGCAUUGCCAGCUUGUGUCUUUUGAGUUCAAGGUGUGUGGGCCCACAAAAUAUUUGAAGGUGUUAUAUUGAGCAAAGUGCUUUUGGUCACUAACUUUGCAUUUCUGAACGGAAAGCUAUUUUAAAUUGCACUGUGAAAGGAAUAGCCUAUUAGAAGCCCUGUUGGCAUAAUUUGAGUGUCCUAAACAAAAAGCUACUAUUCAAAUUACCUGUUUUUAUUUGUUUUGUGUUUUCUAUUGGCUAAUCUAUUACUAAACUGAAGUUUUUUUUUUCUAUAAUUCUGAAUAAAUGGGACUAUAUAUUUGUUAACAUACUUACCUGAGUUAGUUAUUACUGGUACUUUUGAUAUUUACCUGUAUAAUCUUGUUGAAGUUCAUACUUAUCAUAGAUUUGUGUAACUCUGGUGAAAGUUAUGGUGUUUUGGGUUAAAUAUACUUACCUUAAUGGGGGAAACCCAUAAUUAGUGAAAUCCAUACUUACCUUUAAAAGUUGAAUCCUUCUAAAAUCUGUACUUUGAUUAGAGAUAGUCCAGUGAAGUAAAUACUUACCCGAAGGGGUUAUUCUUGUCAUGGUUCUGUCUUUUUGUUUCUAUUUUUCCUUUUUGGGCCGCCAGUUGGUGGUACUUGUCAGUUUUUGUAUUUCUGUUCAUUCCCUCAUUGGUUUCCCCUGUGUUAAUUGUAUUAUUGUUUUCCAUUAUUGUCUCGUUAUUUAAUCAUUGUUCCCACCUGUCUCGUUAUUUCAUCAUUGUCCCCACCUGCCUCUCGUUAUCCCUUCCCUCUCGUUUGAUUAUGUAUUGAGUUCACUUGUGUCUUGUCUAUUUAAUUUAUUUGUUCCCCUGACACGGGUGCUGGUUCCUUGUGUUUGUUUCUGACUCUAUGUAUCUGCCCGAUUUGGUCCUGCUUGCGUUUCAUGUGUGUUUCUGCCUGCAUUCCCGCUUGUGUUCCGCUUGUAUGUAUCUGCUUGCUUGUGUUUGUGUUUCUGACUGUGUUUCUGCUUGUGAGUUUCCACCUAUUUGUGUGUGUUCCGCCUCCCCGUAUUUCUGACCUGCCUGUGUUUUGGCCUGCCUGUGUUCUGUUCGUUUUUUUGGGGGGUUUUUUGAGUUUGUGGUUUUGCCCCUCGUGGCCCCUUUGUUUGUUCCUGAGUUUUUUUUGUAUUAAAUUCUUUUUCAGCCAGUACUGGACCCAGCAGGGUUAUUAAAUAUUAAAAUGUACCAGUGCAAGAAGGCAGAGCUCCAUACAGUUGUUUAUAUCACUGUCAGGGCUCUCUUCACUCUGAGCCCUGCUAUUAAUUGCUAGAGGUAAAUAAUUCCCUCGCAACUAAAUCAGUAGCAAUCAUAAAGAUAAUUGUAUAAAUGCCUUGAAGGAUCUUGUCGGUUUCUAAAAGGUCCCUUCUAAAUGCUCUUCUUACAGCGAUGAGUUGUUCAUCAACAAAAACCUUGCAUUCAUUUCUGCUGUUGGUGUUUGUGUGAUUUAGCUAAUUUAAACAUAAAUCUGUGAUUCUGCCGGUUUGGGCUUAAGACAAGUUCGGCUAAAUUGUGAACUUGCUUCUUGAAACCAAAAAUCCAGAGUUUAUUCCCAAAUGUUAACAAACUAAUCAGGUUAACUGAGUUAGCCACAUAUGUGAAACAGGGCCCCAGUAUUUAAAACAUGUUCUGGACCUGUUUACAAUUUAACUUCAGUUUUGAAUAGGUUUUGUAAAAAGGUUGCAACAUCUUAUGCUAGCUGGGCAUUUGUUCAAGUUCAGAAAAGCUUAAUGCUCAGUUAUUAAUUCCUUGUUUACCUCAGUGGGCACUGGGGAUACAGCAAAAACAGAUUCCAUUCGAACCAAAUUGAUAGAAGCUAAUUGAAGAAAUAAGCUUACCAGGAAUUUUCAAGUGACAAUCAUGCUCCUGUUUUGAAGGUCCACACACUUGGUCAGAGAAAUGUUUGAGCUCUGCCAGCUUGAGCCCUCAUUCAGAGAGGAGCAGCAGGGAGGGUGAAACCCAUCCAAAUUUCGUAUUGAUGAGAGUGGACGUCCCACUCGAUUUCAAACCAUAUUCCCACUGCUUCUAAAAUAAAAUAGUAUUAAUUGGCUUGUGGAAAUGAACUUCUCAUGGUUCCAUCCAAGAUGUGGUUGAAUCCACAGAUGUGCUCAGGAGCAAAGAGAUUAAAAAAUUGCUUCUUGUUUCUUUAGAUUUUGGACAGCCAACCCUUGAGCUAUCUGUCUGUCUCCUUUCAAGAGGGGUCACCGGGAACAGCUUUGAUGGUGAAAAGCUGGAUUUGAAUCUGGCCUGGGCCUUUCUGUGUGGAGUUUGCAUGUUCUCCGCCAUGUCUGCAUGGGUAUCCUCCAGGUACUCCAGUUUCUUGCCACAGUCCAAAGACAUGCAGGUCCUGGUCGGAUGCUACAUUUGGCUUCUUCAUGAAUGAGAUGGAUAUAUAGUUUUGCACUUAUGUCACAAGAAAUUAUUGAAGAAUACUUGAACACUACAGAUCCAGUCAUGGUCACUAUGGAAGAAGAUUAGCUCUCCCCUGCAUUUACAGCGAUUGUGUGUGCUAUAUGCAGUCACAAAAGUCUCUCCAAACACACGAGACAACGUGGUGUUGAGAAUUAGAUGCCAUUUAUGUGACUUUGAAGAACCUGCAGACGUUAAACUAUACUUUCGUAAUCUUGGCACGCAUUUGAGAAAUAAGGAAACUGUCAUUUGCUCAUUUAAUCGUUGUGCUUUUAAAUCAAGUGUUAACUCCAGUUUUCCACCACACAAAAGUCUAUCAUAACUCCAACUCUUUACAAGAUUUUAAAGCAGAGCUUCUUCUUGGCCCACCAAAAUAAAUUGAACACUCAGAAGAUCAUGUUUUAGAUACUGCUGCACAAAUAGCCGAUACUAACACUCAAUCAGCAGAUGGAAAUUGUGUUGACUUCCAGUCAGAUGAUGACGAAGAUGCUGACAUUGAACAUGGCAAUGACAUUGGUGAAAAAAUUAAGGGAAGACUUGCAUCUUUGCUUCUACGCAUGCAAGCAGUCUACACAGGAAAUAAUUAAUGAAUUUUAUGAAAUUGGUAUUUUAGCUGGUGAACUUUCAAAAAACACUGUUUAAGUGGUUCUUAAAGAGCAUAACUUAAAUAUAGAUGAUGCCACACUGAAGUUAGUGACUGAGACCCUCCAGAAAACCAAUCCUCUUAGCUGUCUUUCAGAGAGUGGUCCUCUUGGAACUGAAUACAAAAGGCAGUCAUUUUACAACAAAAGAUUUAAUGUUAUUGAGCCAGUUGAAUAUGUUUUAGAUGGUCUGCACAAAAAAACUUCUGUAUAUGUCCCAAUUUCAAUUGUAUUGCCAAAAUUAUUGAAUGGGGUGACGUAAUUGACAAAAUCCUAGAACAGUCAAACGUAAAACCUCAGUUUGGUCAGUACAAAUCAGUUUGUGAUGGGCUAUACUUCAAAGAUAAUCCACUUCUUUCAGAUGAAGACUUGGGUAUUUCUCUAGGAUUAUAUAUUGAUGAAUUUGAAAUAUGCAACCCUUUGGGACUUCAAGAAAAAAACAUAAAGUUACUGCUAUUUAUUUGGUAUUUGCAGAUUUGCCUGUCAGAUGCAGAUCAGCCUUAUCCAAUAUAUACCUUUCAGUACUGAGCAAUAGUAGUGAUGUGAAGACUUUUGGUUAUGAACUAAUUGUUGAACCACUUCUUAGGGAGCUUUGUAUACUUUAAACCAGGGAUUUUACAUUGAUAGGUUGAGUACUUCCAUCAAAGGCACAGUCCUGUAUGUGUCACCAGACAAUUUAGGAGCUCAUUCUUUGGCUGGGUUUUAAGAGUCACUUUGUGUUGAUACAUUUUGUAGAUUCUGCUUAGCCAGCCAUGAUGCUAUUCAGAGUGUCUCUGUGAGGGAUGGUUUGUUUCCACUGAGAACUAAAAUAUCGCACACUGAAGCUGUUCAGAGAGUAAAAGAGAACGAGGGUCUUGUUGUUGAUGGAGUGAAAAGGGAUUGUGUCCUAAACAGACUAAACUUUCACUAUGUAACAGGUUUUCCAUCAGACUUCUUACAUGACUUAUUUGAAAGAAUCGUACGUGUGGAGUUGUGUUUGUGUUUAAAGACACUGAUAGACAAGAAUUACUUUACCUUAGAGGAAUUGAAUUCUGCCAUUCAGCAUUUUCCCUAUAAAUUCUCAGAUAAGACAAAUAGACCACAGACAAUUCCCAAGGCCUUUAGAUCAAAAGGAACGGUUGGUGGGAACGGCCAUGAAAAUUGGUCACUUUUGAGGCUGCUCCCCUUGCUUAUUGGCAAUAAAAUACCCGAGAAUGGCACGACUUAGGGUAUCAUCUUAGAUAUUAAAGACAUUGUGGAAAUUCUAGCAUCGCCCAUGUUCACGGAGGAAAAGCGGUUUUAUCUUGAAGCCAGAAUCUUUGAACACCGCCAACUCCUACAGGAGGUUUUUCCUGAGUUUAAGCUGAAACCAAAACAUAAUUUUUUAGAGCAUUAUCCCCGUCUAGUUUGUUGUUUUGGGCCUUUGCUUGACUUUUGGACAAUUAGAUUUGAGGCCAAGCAUAGCUUUUUUAAGAUGGUUGUUCGCGAUGUUAAUAAUUUUAAAAAAUAUACUACUAACUUUAGCCUCCAGGCACCAGCUCAUGUUGGCAUAUUACAUGGGCAUGCCUACCCUGUUCAAACCAGCACUGGAAGUUGGAAAAAUAUCAACUGUCAUGUCCUGCCCCCUCUGUCAAAGACACUAUCAAUUCAGAAAUGUGACUGCUAUUUCUCUUGCAAAAACUGUAUUCUUACACGGAACUCAGUACACACAAGGAAUGUUUUUAUCAAUUCGAAACACAAGUGGACUGCCUGAUUUUUGGAAAAUUGUUAAUGUGUUAAUUGUUGAAAACAAGCUGUUUUUUGUGGAAACGUACACAGCAUUGGUACACAAAGCACUUGAGUUAUGAGGUCUGCAAAAAUCACUCUGCAAAACUGCUUGUAGUCCAACCAGAGGAGCUCAAUGACUACUUCCCCCUGUCGGUGUAUAUGGGUCAAGACAGACUUCUGGUUUCUCCUAAAGCAUUUCUGCCUCAUUGAGUUAAAUUAGCACCUCUCUUACACAGUUUCAACAAAACACCAACAUUAUGACCUUUAUAACUGUAUGGCUACUGGAUUGGAUUGCAUUGUAGGGUGUCUCUUUUGUUUUGUCCACCCCCUGUAUCUUGCUUCAGUUAAGUCUUGCCAUUUACUUGUCAUGUUUUGUCAUUCUCAGCUUCACAGUGGAGCACGAGCUGCCAUCCUGGUUUGUUGUCCAGCUAGAGGAGCUCAACGAUUACUUCCACGUUGGCGUAUAUGGCUCAAGACAGACUUCUAGUUUCUCCUAAAUCAUUUCUGCUGCAUUGAGCUAGAGGAGCUUGAAGAUUACUUCCCCCUGUUGGCGUGUAUGAUUGCCCAACAUGCUGCUGCAAAUCAUUCUCAACAAAGAUGACAUUAGGAAGAUCCAGAUUGAUAGUUUGCCAGAGACUCUUGAUGAGUUUUAUUCAUUCUUGAAAUGUAAGCUUGGAUUGGAAGGUGACUUGGUGGUCCAAUAUGAAGAUUGAGAGUUUGACAAUGAGCUCUGCAACUUUAUGAGCUUGUCUGAUCUUCCUGAGGGGAAGGCAACACUGAAGGUAACUGUCAAGCAGGCCCCUGAGUCAUAUCACACUGAUUCAACGUUUGACACGGCAAGUUUGUCCUUGUCCCCAUUGUCUUUUCGUGAAGACAUUUCCACCUACCAUCGGCCUUGGCCUGACCCAUUUGAGAUUCCUAGAUUUUCAAAUGAUGUAGAGUUGCAACUUAAAAGGGAUAAUGAAGCCUACCAGGAGAACAGAACCUUGCUUAAUACAAGGAAAGACAUUAAAUCUGAGAUACUUGACAAAUUGGCAGAAGCAAUGUACGCAUACACUGCCUACCCAUCACGAGAAGAAUAUGACAUCGUUGCACAAAGUCUCAUCAAGAAACAUCCUUGCCUGAGGGAGCCUGGGUCUGCCAAGGGUUGGCACUGCUGGAAAUUCAGCCAAAAAUUAAAAAUGGGAAACUACAGGAACAAGCUCUGUGUGGCUGGAUGCUCUGAACUCCAAGUUAAUCGCUGCUCCUCAGGACCAAAACAGAAGCUCAAGAAAGCUAAAAAAGCCGAAGUCAAUUUUCUUCCUGACUUCCCUGAAGGAAGAACCAAAAAUGUUCUGGAAGAUAGAUAGAUUAGCCAUUAUUGGAGAGAUGAAGAAGAAGAAAGUUGGUAUGAAGAAAGUCAACAAAAUGAUGGUCAGCAUCUUCUCCCUGCAACAAAAGCAAAUUGUGGAACAAGAGCCACCUGUGGCAGAGGUGAAGACCCAGUGGCCAGCUUUGUUCACGGAGCAACAGGCCACAGACACUGAGGACAGCAUGGCAAGGGAAAUGAAUGUCGGCAUCCUCCUGAUGAAAGGAUCUUCUUGACGUCUCGGUGGCGCUGGAGGAUCAGAUCAUUCUGCAUGGCAUCAAGGACUACUCACAUGCGGUAGCUAUGCUAAUUGGUCUGCUAUAUGCACUGAACAUUGACUAACCGAAGGAGCUGUAAUAUACCUUCAAAGUCAUUCAGAAGGUUCUCGUGAAUAUCGGCAGUGAGCAAUGCUCUGCAAGCGUUCAUGGACUGAGGAAUAGACUUCUUCGUAAAACUGUGUAGGCACUACACUGAGACAGGAGUUUUGUGAAAGUUGACAAUGAUACAUUGGUUGGCCAUUAUCCUACAGUUUUCUUUAGAGUUCUGUUCCACUAUUACAACGUAACUUUGUUCACUAACCGAUCUUAUGCCACAUUCUCAGUUGAGCAAAUUUAAGAGCUUUUCCAUAAAGUUGUAAGUUGAAAUUAGUCAUAACUUUUUUCCUACAAGCCUAGGGGUUUGAGGUCUUUACUGCAAAGUCUGUUUUACUACCGUGAGAUUGACCUUUUUGGUUGUGCAUAAUUUUACUUGAUAUUUUUAGUUUAUUAUGCACUUACUCAUAUUUUUACUUGUAUUUUUAAAAAUACAUUUUUCAUUAAUUUUUUUUACAUGCAUCUGCAAACACUUGUAUAAGUAAGGAUAGUGACAGAAUGAAAGAUAGCGGCAGCAGUAAUGAGUAGAGAAUACUUAUUUGUGCACAUUCUAGAGCGGGGAUGUUUACCCACAAGCUUGUGCUGUUUUAGGGGUAAAAAUAUUUUUGUAUUUGAUGGGAUCUGUUAUUUUGCUGUAUACUCAAAGGUUGUUUUAUUACCUUGCCCAUCUGUGUUAUUAAAUCUUUGAAGAACUGGAAUUGGUUUGGUUUCUUUUAAACAACCAAUAACCUGUAGAGAUGAGACCUUUAAAUCUAAUCUAAAAUGAAGCUGAAGUCUAAUAAAAGUAAAGAGAAUUACUAAAUAUGUAGUAUAAACUUAAUCUUAAGCAGAACUGAAUUAUGAUUAAGUUAACUCAAAUAUAAAUAUAUAAUAAAGUUGACAUAACAUAGUUAGGUAAACUAGAUAUUGUAGGUAGACUGAACUGUAGAUGACUGUAGAACUGUAGAGAUUGGCUGGACUACCGGCAUCUGCCAUCAUACCCCUGCAACUCAUUCAGAAUGCUGCAGCUCACCUGGUCUUCAACCUCCCCAGACA
This is a long non-coding RNA of Anguilla rostrata (American eel), 8942 nucleotides long. RefSeq lists it as uncharacterized. The record is from RefSeq and is a predicted model, not a curated record. Lineage: Eukaryota; Metazoa; Chordata; Actinopteri; Anguilliformes; Anguillidae. The transcript has 6 exons.